Molecule: ribosomal RNA, 230 nt
Filed under: uncultured Hydrogenophaga sp.
Lineage: Bacteria; Pseudomonadati; Pseudomonadota; Betaproteobacteria; Burkholderiales; Comamonadaceae
Description: partial 16S ribosomal RNA
Rfam family: Bacterial small subunit ribosomal RNA
Source: RNAcentral
ACUGGAGUUUGAUCCUGGCUCAGAUUGAACGCUGGCGGCAUGCUUUACACAUGCAAGUCGAACGGUAACAGGCCGCAAGGUGCUGACGAGUGGCGAACGGGUGAGUAAUGCAUCGGAACGUGCCCAGUCGUGGGGGAUAACGCAGCGAAAGCUGUGCUAAUACCGCAUACGAUCUAUGGAUGAAAGCGGGGGACCGUAAGGCCUCGCGCGAUUGGAGCGGCCGAUGUCAG